UGGGGCAGGCGGGCGUCGGAGGGGCAGUUUUGAAGCCCGAGCGAAGAGGCAGAGGGCGGGAUGCGGACGAAGCCAGGGAGUUCACGAAACUUCUGGAGUUCUCAGUUUCCCCCUAAGUCGACUGGGGCUAGGUCCCGUGCCGCCAGGCGGGCUGGCUGAGGGGAUGGGCUGGGGCGACAAGACGGCAGCCGCCUGGCCCGGGUACUUGGGGUCAGACCGGCUUCGAGGCCCCCGGACCGCCGUGUUAUCAGGACGGGUAGGGAGCCCACGGGACGCGUGGUGCUCAGAAGAGCGGGGAGGCGUGUGGACGGGGCCUGCCCGAGCUGCACCACCGCCUGCCUCCAGGCUGCGAGGCCCGCCCAGGCGAAGGCGGCAUCUCAGCCUCUAGCCCUUGGGGACCUUGAGGACGUCCUCUUAUGGGUCAGCCGUUCCUAGGGAGGCUUGUGGCUCCAGUUACUGGAAAAACCAGUGCUGGUUCACGCAGGAGGCCCCAGUACAGGGGGAAACAGAGGCAAGCUGGGGUCUCCCAGGCGGCCUCACCCACCCAGCCCUGUUCCAUGCCAGUCCCUGGACCCUUGGCCCAGUCAGAUGUUCAACUGCUCCAGCCCUGCCUCCACUUCCCUGAAAGAUGCUUUUCCACCCAUCCACCCUCAGCAGCCAGAGGGACCCCGGGAAGAUGGGAGUGAGAGCUGCCUUCGUCUGCAAAAGUCUCCAGACACCACCUCACUGGUGAAGGCCAGAGACCCUAAACUGUCCCAAGACCACCUGACUGGGCUGCCUCCCUGCCACCUGGCUGCCAGCCUCUCUCAGAGCGCCUGCAAGCUAUUCCUCCAACCCAGAGUUUCCUUCCCAGCUAAAGGCCUUUGCACCUGCUGUUCCUUCUGCCUGGAAGUUCACCGCAGACUAUCCCAGGGCCUCCAUCCUUCCCAUUGCAUGGUCCCCAUCAGCUGCCGCCGCCUCUGAGAGCUCAGUCUCCACUGGCCAUCCUGUCUCUCAGCCCACUGCACUCUCCACUCUGCCAGAAAGUCCCCCAAUCAGUGACAACACAGGUCACGGUCCACACCUCACCUGGUUUGUCCCCAGUGCCCAGCAUCUGGCACCGAGCAGGAAGCAGAAGCUAAGCGAAAGCAGAAUCAAGAUUCAAACCCAGGCACGGUGAAACCAGAGCUGUCCAACUGCUAGGAGAAAACGGGGCCUCAGAGAUGAUGGCUGAGCCGUGAAAAGGUGGGGUCAGAAGCCAGGCCCAGUCUCCUGAAUUCCAGACUCCAGAAUCUCCCCCAGGAUUGAGGAAUGUUCCACAGAAAGAAUCCCAGCUCCACCUACCCCAGUCACUGGACCUGCCCAGCCCUGGAGGCAUGGCCAGGAGGAGGCCCCCGCAGUGGCAGUGGCCCAUUCUGAGCGAGCUUGGACCCUCCUCCUCAGUGCCUGCCUUCCGUGUGUACCAAGCCCUGAAGGGCAGAGGAGGGCCAGCCCUCCGCAGUGUGGCAGGGCUCUGGCGGAUACACCUGCCUCCCAUCUGCAGAAGGACCUUCCUCAGGUGUCCGGCACACUUCUCAGGAGGUCCUGAAACCAGCUGAGACCUCCAUAACACACCUGUGUUGGCUCCCUCACCUGGUCAUCACAAAUAAACCACCUGCACCAAUGUCCCUAUCUCAGGCUCUGCUAUCGAGGGAACCAGCGUAAGCAGCCACGCCCCUGAUGCGAAGAGGAAGCAGGGCUUGAGGGAGGCCAGGACUCGGGGGAUUGGCGUGCAGGAGCUGGGAAAGUCAUUUUCAUUUCCCUCCUUCC
Molecule: long non-coding RNA, 1788 nt
Filed under: Homo sapiens (human)
Lineage: Eukaryota; Metazoa; Chordata; Mammalia; Primates; Hominidae
Description: HSALNT0350567
Source: RNAcentral